Long non-coding RNA from Helianthus annuus (common sunflower), 498 nucleotides. RefSeq lists it as uncharacterized. NCBI's taxonomy places the organism in Eukaryota, Viridiplantae, Streptophyta, Magnoliopsida, Asterales, Asteraceae. The record is from RefSeq and is a predicted model, not a curated record. The transcript is spliced from 5 exons.
GUUCAAUGAAUUCUUCAGUUUCUUAAUCAUGGAGCAAUGUCAUAAUGAAAUUGAAGUCGGUUGGGUUGCAUCACCUCUUCCGAAUUCCCCUUCUACAACCACAAAAGGCUUGGGGAUAGCGUCGCCACUACAUAAGCAUCCGCCUCCAACUUCAAAUAGGAAAUCGACUAUCAUUAGGUCAGGUUAACAACAAAUGCUAUCACAGAUUCAAUUUCUUUAUUCUGCAGUUGCUUGGAUACGAACAGGUCUGAUCUUUCAUCACCAUCCCAGUCGUAAAUCUAUCUUUUCUUGAUUUAAUUUGAACUUCAGUGGAUCUGCAUAAACCAGAUGAGAUUGAAGUUGAAGAGGACUAGAGGGAAGAGCCUGGUGGCAAAGAAGUGGGUCCUUCAGAUUGUGAUGAUGGCGAAGAAGUUGGAUCUGUAAAUGUGGGAAACUCUGCUUAGCUAGCCAAAAAAGAAGACAUUAAUGGAUUACUUGUGGGUGGUGCUUCAUUAAAGG